GCAAAGUCAAGCAAUGACAUUCGUUUUACUUUCAAUAGCUUACAGGACACAGUUCAUGUAUCUAAUGUGUCAGGAGAAUACAUGUAUGGUGCUUUCACAUCAUCUGAGAAUGGUCCUGCUGGAUCAGCAAUAUGUGUCUAUACGUUAAAUGGAGAGAAUACUAAUGACCUUUCUG
Long non-coding RNA from Amphimedon queenslandica, 175 nucleotides. RefSeq lists it as uncharacterized. NCBI's taxonomy places the organism in Eukaryota, Metazoa, Porifera, Demospongiae, Haplosclerida, Niphatidae. The transcript has 3 exons. The record is from RefSeq and is a predicted model, not a curated record.